GAGUAGAGGAUGAUGAUGGUGUCUCAGGAAUCCGGGAAUGAUCAGAGCCCUCAGAGGAGCGGAAGCGUUGCUGCAACCCAAAUGUCUCCGACCUGCCUCCAGCAGGGAUGCAGGAGAAAGUCCCUGGAGCAGAACAGGACCUGUUGGGAGGAGUGGGGGCCUCUUUGGACUGAAAAGGGCUGAUUUAAAGGGAUCUGCUGGCCAGCUUUUCCCUAUGUCAGCAUCUUCUCACCAGCCCAGAGCAAGGGCAUUGCGUGGCAGAUGCUCCACGGAGGAGGAGACACCUUGUCAUACAGCGAUCAGCUCCUGCAGUGGCUCAAGGCUGCUCCAUCCCUUUGCUCAGGGAUGUAACACAGCGCAUUGCUCAGCUUCCAGCAUCUACAGCCUAUAGAAACCUCCUGUGCCCCUAAUCUGUCCCUUUUCACCCCAAACUACCCCUCUGAUGCAGGACACCAAGAUGGAACCAAGCGGUCUGGGCACAUGCAGGAGGUCACUGAAGAUGUGCUGCCUUUGCCAAACGGGUCUUGUGAUGGAUACAGGAUCGUCUAUUUAAGUUUUAUAGGGGGUAUUUUCCCUUGCCAGGAGCUGGAGAAUAGAGGACCCGGGUACCAUCUGCCCAGGGGACUGGUGAAUCAUCCUAUUUUCCAGUUAACAGCACUUGUUUGCUUUGGGAGAUCUCCAAGUUAAGGGGGAAGAAAAAGAAAACCCAACCCAUGGAUCUUUUCCCACACAAUAAGAAAAAUGCCUUUUUUUUUUUUCCCCUACAAAAGCCAGUGUCAACUCUGCUUUUACUUAGCAGUGGGCUGGGUAAAAAUAGACAGUGAAGUCAUGAUGCCUUCAGAAGAAGAACCAGGUAUGGUCUGGGUGAGAGAAGUCAGGCUUGGGGGAAGAGGGAUAAGAAGCCAGCGGGAUGAGGGCAGGCAGGGUUUUAUCCCCGCACCGUGCUGGGACAAGGAGAGCUGCUCACCCCAGUGUCUUGUGGUUUCCCUGGAAUGCUGCUGGGAGAGCAAGGAGGCUCUUUGGUGGAUGCACCACAGUUUAAGCUGUUGUUCACGGGCUGGGGCUGGGGCUGUGGUCCAGCAAACACCAGGAGAUCAGCUCUUUGUGAGGCUGAGACACUUGAGGCACACUGGAAAGCGAGGGUAGCAGCAGGGAUGGGAAGCUGAGGGGUCGUGCUCUUGCUUUCUCCAGGACCAUAUUGCUGCAGCCUCCUCUCCCAGCUUUCUGCUCCCAUCUGGAUUUUCCUCCUGUUUUAUCACUGUGCCAAGGCUGUGAGCACACUGGGCUCUUUGGAAGGAGGCUGCGUGUGAGGGACUUUGAUGUCUUCUGCUCCAGGCAGGGGCCCUGGAAGCCACUUGGCCACCUGGAGCGUGAAGAGGUGCAGCUGAUGCCCACUCUUAGUUCUGCUGGUGGGAGGCUCCUGUGGCAAAGCCUUCACAGGGUUUUCCAUGCAGGGUCUGUGAUUCUAUGUCCAGAGCUCAGCCAGCC
Molecule: long non-coding RNA, 1488 nt
Organism: Pezoporus occidentalis (night parrot)
Lineage: Eukaryota; Metazoa; Chordata; Aves; Psittaciformes; Psittacidae
Exons: 3
Source: RefSeq, a predicted model, not a curated record